RNAcentral lists this transfer RNA (73 nucleotides) under Erythrotrichia carnea. Its description in RNAcentral is "tRNA-Gly". It matches the Rfam family "tRNA". Rfam says of the family: Transfer RNA (tRNA) molecules are approximately 80 nucleotides in length. Their secondary structure includes four short double-helical elements and three loops (D, anti-codon, and T loops). Further hydrogen bonds mediate the characteristic L-shaped molecular structure. tRNAs have two regions of fundamental functional importance: the anti-codon, which is responsible for specific mRNA codon recognition, and the 3' end, to which the tRNAs corresponding amino acid is attached (by aminoacyl-tRNA synthetases). tRNAs cope with the degeneracy of the genetic code in two manners: having more than one tRNA (with a specific anti-codon) for a particular amino acid; and 'wobble' base-pairing, i.e. permitting non-standard base-pairing at the 3rd anti-codon position. Lineage: Eukaryota; Rhodophyta; Compsopogonophyceae; Erythropeltidales; Erythrotrichiaceae. The record is from RNAcentral.
AGCGGGUAUAGUUUAGAGGUAAAACACCACCUUGCCAAGGUGGAUUCACGGGUUCGAUUCCCGUUACCCGCUA